Non-coding RNA from Candidatus Jorgensenbacteria bacterium, 4415 nucleotides. Lineage: Bacteria; Candidatus Joergenseniibacteriota. The record is from Rfam.
GUAGAGAAUUAUUAAGGGUGUAUGGUGGAUGCCUUGACGCAAAGCGGCGAUGAAGGACGUAGCGUAGCUGCGAUAAGCCUCGGUGAGGUGCCUAGCAACCUUUGACCCGGGGAUUUCCGAAUGGGGAAACCUAUUUGCGUAAAACGCAAAUGGCCUUGUCUAUAAAUGACGAGGCAGCUUACCCGCUGAAGUGAAACAUCUCAGUAAGCGGAGGAGUAGAAAAAAAUCGCGAAACGAUUUUUUGUGUCAGGUGUCGGGUGUCACGUGUCAGGAAUUUAGAGUACAAAAGCGUUUCUUGAUACAUGACACUUGAUACUUGACGCAGGAAUUUUGCUUCGCAAAAUUCCCUUAGUAGCGGCGAGCGAAACGGGAAGAGCCUAAACCAGAUACUUAAUUUAUUAAGUGUUCGGGGUCGUAAGAUAAAAAUAUUCUUAAGUUUCUUGUCCCGUUAGAAAAAAUGCCGUUUUAAAGAAACGGAUUUCUAACGGGAUAAACUUGAAACUUAAGAUAAGAGUUACAAAUUUGCUCCGACGUAAAGUCGGAGCACCGACCCGUAAGGCGUCGGUGUUGGCUAGUCGAAACUGCUGGAAAGCAGCGCCAAAGAAAGUGAAAGCCUUGUAGACAAAAGUCGGCAAACUCUUAAAUUUUUACCCCGACGUAAAAGUCGGGGCUCCGACCUCGUAAGAGCGUCGGAGUUCUUGAGUACCUCGAGGCUAGACAACCUCGAGGGAAGCAAGGAGUACUAUCUCCUAAGGCUAAAUACGCUUUGCGAUCGAUAGUGAACAAGUACCGCGAGGGAAAGGUGAAAAGCAGGCCGGUGAGGCCGUUGAAAUAAAACCUGAAACCAUACACUCACAAGGACCAGGAGCGAUAUCGCUAUCGCUCAACGCUCCUAAUUUAGAAUGCAGAAUUAAGAAUGCAGAAUUAUAAAGCUUCGCUUUAAUUAAGAAUUAAGAAGGCAGAAUUAAGAAUUUAUUGUAAUUUUAAUUCUGAAUUCAUAAUUCUGAAUUAUUAAUUAGCGAGCGAAGCGAGCUUAAAGUUCUUAAUUCUAAAUUUAUAAUUUUGAAUUAGGCACGGUGAGCGGUAGCGAAGCGUGACUGGGUGCCUAUUGAAGAAUGAGCCAACGACUUUAUUUGCGCUGCUCGUUUAAGUCCGAUUAAUCGGACGAAGCAAAGGGAAACCAAGUCUGAAUAAGGCGAAAAAUAAAGCAGCGCGAUUAAGACCCGAAGCCAAGCGAGCUUAUCCUGGUCAGGAUGAAGGUCGAUGAAAAUCGACUGGAGGUCCGCACCGGUGAGCCGUUCAACACUCUCGGAUGAACUGGGAUAAGAAGUGAAAAGCUAAUCGAGCUUGGGAAUAGCUGGUUCUCUCCAAAAUAGUUUUAGGACUAGCGUCGGAUAAUAGAUUUCUGGGGGUAGAGCGCUGGAUGAAUUGUAAAGGGCGAAAGCCCGACAAAUCAAUCAAACUUCGAAUACUAGAAAUUGUUUUCCGGCAGUCAGACUACGGGGGCUAAGCUCCGUGGUCGAAAGGGAAACAGCCCUGACCGUCGUCUAAGGUCCCUAAAUAUUUGCUAAGUGUUAAAGAAAGUUUUCAACCAGAGACAAAUAGGAGGUUGGCUUAGAGGUAGCCAUCCUUUAAAGAGUGUGUAACAACUCACUAUCCGAUGGUUGGGGGCGUCUAAAAUUUAUCGGGGCUAAGCAAAUUACCGAAGACACGGAAUCGCGCGGCGAAGCCGACGCGAUAAUUUAGAAUUACAAAUUAAGAAUUCAGAAUUUUUAGAAUUAUUUAUUUAAUUCUUAAUUCUGCAUUCUAAAUUCUGAAUUAUCACGCGACUUCGUCGCGUGAUUGAUAGGAGAGCAUUUCCAGCGCAGCGAAGGUUGACCCGCGAGGGCAGCUGGAGCGCUGGGAAGAGAGAAUGUUGGCAUGAGUAAUCGCAAAGACGAUGAGAAAUCGUCUCCCCGCAAAUCCAAGGUUUCCUCCGCAACGAAAAUCGACGGAGGGUUAGGCGGCCCUAAGGCAAUGGCGAAAGCCGCAGCUAAAGGACAGUCGGUUAAUAUUCCGACCCGCCCAUUAAUUAUCGAUGGAGUAACAGAGAACAUAAAAUUGAGCGCCUUAAUGGUUUGGCGUUAUUGAUUUCAAGAAAUGUUCCGACCAGUAAAUCUGUUGGGACUGCCUUUAAUGGCGAAUUUCGGAAAUUGAUGAAAGUUUUGAUUUUUAUCAAUUCAAUUCGGUUGAAGAGUCUCUCAAGAAAACCUUCUAAGAGUUAUGUUAAUGGGCCCCGUACUAAAAACCGCCACAGGUGGAUGAGGCGAGUAGCCUCAGGGGAACGGGUAAUUCCUCGUUAAGGAACUCGGCAAAAAAGCAGACGUAAGUUCGCGAUAUGUCUUUCCCUCCCCAGUUUUGGUAAAGUAAUUAUUAUACAGAUGCAUUGCUUCGUGAGAGAAGAUUAAAAAAUCACGGCAGUGGUAAAAUUGAACUUUUCAAGCGGCUAAAAAAUAGCUUGCUUGAUACCAAAACUGGGGAGGGACGCAGCGAAAGAAUCCCUAGCGACUGUUUACCAAAAACACAGCUCCCUGCUAACUCGUAAGAGGAUGUAUAGGGGGUGACGCCUGACCGAUGCGAGAAGGUUAACGGCGGGAGUGUUAUCCGCAAGGGUAACGCCCACUGCCCGAAGCCCUCGUCAAUGUCCGCAGUAACUAUAACUGUGUUAAAGUAGCGCAAUUCCUUUUCAGGUAAGUUCUGAAGCGCACGAAUGGCGUAACGACUGGGGAACUGUCUCAAUGAGGAGCCCGAUGAAAAUGCGAUUCCCGUGAAGACGCGGGGUACUGGCAGUAAGACGAAAAGACCCCGGGAGCUUUACUGCAGCUUGAUAUUGAUUUUAGAACUUUAAUGCGUAGCGUAGUGGGCAGGCUUUGAAGUUUCGCUUUCGGGCGGAAUGGAGCCGACAAUGAAACACCCAUCUUUCGAGUUUUAAAGUCUAAUCUGAACGGCAAAAACGUUCGGAAACAGUGUCUGGUGGGCAGUUUCAAUGGGGCGUUGUCCUCCUAAAAAGUAACGGAGGAGUCUAUUAAGGUCGACUUAGCCCGGAUGGAAAUCGGGCUGGACGUGCAAAGGCACAAGUCGGCUUAACGGCAAGGCUGACAAGCCGCGCCGAUGCGAAAGCAGAGCUUAGCGACCCGACGACACUUUAUAGAAAGGUCGGAGAUACCGGAUAAAAGCUACCCCGGGGAUAACAGGCUGGUGAUGCCCGAGAGUCCAUAUCGACGGCAUCGCUCGGCACCUCGAUGUCGGCUCACCCUAUCCUGGGGCUGAAGAAGGUCCCAAGGGUUUGGCUGUUCGCCAAUUAAAAGGGUACGUGAGCUGGGUUCAAACCGUCGUGAGACAGGUUGGUCUCUAUCUACUGUCAGCGUGGAUACUUGAGGGAAGUCGGCUCUAGUAAAUUAAAUUGCUACUUUCCGAAGUAAUUCGGAUUGAAAAUUCGACUAAUAACGGUGAAAUCUUAAUGACUAUUGUUUUCGGUCCUACAUUUAUGGUACAAUUCACUUGAGGACCAUAAAAUCAUUAAGAUAAUACCGUGGGAAGUCAAUCUAAAAUUAAUUUUGCCUAUAUCGCUGGAUUUCUUGAUGGUGACGGAAGCUUAAUGUUGCAAAUAAAAAAACGCAAAGACGGCAAUAAAUCAAGAAAGCGCUUUAUGGUUACUAUCUGUUUUUAUCAAGAUAGUCGCCACGAAAAACCGCUUCAUUGGAUCCGUGAUAUCCUUAAUAUCGGUUAUAUCUCCAGAAGAAAUGAUGGAAUCACCGAAUUGAGAAUAAACGGCUAUAAACAGAUUCAAAGAAUACUGCAAAAUUUAUUGCCAUUCAUUAAAUUCAAGAAAAUUCAGGCGAAAAUUCUUUUGGAUUCGGCAAAAUUGCUCCAAAAAAGCAAAUUAGCAAAGAAGGAAUUAAAAAGAUUAGUUAAUAAUAUUCUGAAAAUUCAGUCAGAAAAUUAUGUAACUAAAAGGAAGAAAACAGAGAAAGAGUUGCUAAAAAUUUUAGGAUUGACCCCGUAACGACUGGAUUCCGCCAGUGGGCGGAUGAAGAUAAUAUCAUUUUUGAUGUUAUAAUACGUCGACCCCCGACCGCGGUCGUGGUGAAGAUAUAGUCUACACUUCUAGUAAUAGAAGAUUAUGUGACGAGAGGAUCGAGCUGAACGAACCUCUGGCUUACCGGCUUUGGUACCAACUGAAACGCCGGGUAACUAUGUUCGGACGGGAUAAGCGUUGAAAGCAUCUAAACGCGAAGCCCCUCCCAAGAUUAAGUAUCGCUAAAUAAUUUAUUAUUUAGGUGGCCCCCAGAAGACUACUGGGUUGAUAGGCUUUAGGUGUAAGCGCCGCGAGGCGUUUAGCCGAGAAGUACUAAUAAGCCACUAAUUCUCUACCU